UCAUAGGACCACGAGGCCCAUGACCAGAGCAUUGGUGGGUCACGCCAAGGGCCCCGUGGGCCUGCAGACGCUGCUGGAUCUGCUGGUGGGAGUUUAUCAGGAGUUCAGCUCGGCCGCUCUGGUCAGAGAGAAACACGUGCAGCGCUUCCUGCAGUGGGCGGAGCCUCUGGUCAGACAGGUGAAGAAGACUCGGAUAAGCAGGGAUGACUUUGACAUCUUGAAGGUGAUCGGCCGAGGAACCUUCAGCGAGGUGGCUCUGGCCCGCAUGCGUAACACACAGCAGGUUUACGCGCUGAAGAUCAUGAACAAGUGGAACAUACUGAAGCGUGGAGAGACGACGUGUUAUCAGGAGGAGCAGGAGGUUCUGCUGAAAGGAGACCGGCGCUGGAUCACUGAGCUGCAUUACGCUUUCCAGGACGACAAUCACCUCUAUCUGGUCAUGGAUUACUAUGUCGGUGGAGAUCUGCUGACGUUGCUGAGUAAGUUUGGUGAUCGUAUCCCGGAGGACAUGGCUCAGUUCUACCUGGCUGAGAUGGUGAUGGCCAUCGAUUCAGUCCACAGACUCGGUUAUGUGCACAGAGACAUUAAGCCUGACAACAUUCUCCUGAGGGCGGAUGGUCAUGUGCGAUUGGGUGAUUUUGGCUCCUGUCUGCGUCUGGAGGAUGACGGACUGAUCCACUCGUCGCUGGCCGUCGGGACUCCAGACUAUCUGUCUCCAGAGAUCCUGCGGGCGGUGGAGGGCGGCGGAGGCUACGGCUCUGAGUGUGAUUGGUGGGCUCUGGGUGUCUGCGCGUACGAGAUGCUGCUGGGAACCACACCCUUCUACGCCGAGUCCAUCUCUGAGACCUACGCCAAAAUAAUACACUUCAAGGAUUAUUUUGAGUUUCCUCCGGGGUCGGAUGUGUCCGAGGAGGCGCGGUCACUCAUCAGCGCUCUGAUCUGUGACCGGAGCGAGAGGUUGGGUUCACGGGGCUCCGUGGACUUCAGAAAACACCCGUUCUUCACAGGUUUGGACUGGAGUUCCCUUCAUCUCCUCCCUCCUCCGUACCGUCCUGAUGUCUCCGACGCCACAGACACCUCCAACUUCGACGUGCUGGACGACUGUCUGAGCCACACGGAAAGCCUGAGUGAGGUGAUGGAGCGAGCGCCUGUCGGGCUUCAUCUGGCGUUUGUAGGCUACUCUUACACAGCCACCAGAGAGACGGGAGCACUGGACCGCAGCAGAGACAUCAUGAUGGAGAUCAACCAGCAGCAGGAUAGAGACCUGCUCCACCUGCAGGGAACACUGAAUCAGGUGUGGCGGCUCAGAGAAUCCAUCACCGCUGAGCUGAUGUCACUUCCUGCUGAGCAGAACAAACCCCAGCCAAUCAGCAGCAGCGCAGAGACGGAGCAGAGCGACGUACACACUUACGAGCUGCAGAGGCGUCUGCACAAAGCCGAGUGCAGGAACAGAGAGCUUGAGCAGGAGAUGGCUGGACUGAGAGACGAGAUCCUCAGACUGACCGCCGGCAGAGACCAAGUCACAGAGCUGUGUGUGUGUCGGCCGCUGCGCUGUCUGGACUCCGUGUGUGACCUGAUUGACAAACCUGAUGUUUGUAGAGCUCAGUGACGCCCCCUGCCUGUCAUUACCCGCUAGUGACGCCGCUGCACCGCCACCUGCUGCUCUUCAACAGGGUGUGGAUGCCGCAGGUGAGGAGUGAGUCGUAUCUGCUGGUUUGUGCCGAGGGGUCUGAGCUGCUGCUGUGGGAGCGACACUGCAGUGCUGAUCUUUGCUGAAGAACACUAGAUAGUCAACAGCAGACGCUUCAGUGAAUCUGCGUGGACUGUGAUCUACUCUAUUGUGCAGGAGUCUGAUCUCUUCUUCUCUGUUCUUCAGUUACAGUCUAUAAAGCCUUUUCAGCAUAGUGUCCACAUGACUGAGUAAAUGAUUUAAAGUUUCCUGCUUUAAAGCAGCGUCUCGCCAGAAAAUCUCGCAGCCAUGACUCUGAUUCACUCGUCACGUUUAUAAACAUUUCAGCUCCAUCUUCUGAUUGCACUCAUAUUCUGAAUAUGAUGUUUAUAUUCACAAGUAUGGUUGUUUUAGGUCUACUGAUCUACAGAUUUUAUUUCUCGCUGUUUCUCAAAAGAUUUCCCAAGAGAGUCCAGAUGCUGCCAUUGGUUAUGCAGUAUGUGCUCAGUUAUUUAAUUAGAAUUUAAUCUAAUUAUCUAAUUAGUUUUCUAAUUAGUAAUUUAAUUAGAAACCCUUCAAAAUUCCCCAAAACUCGAACUCCAACUGGAAAGAACUGGGCAAAUGUUAAUAAUAAUAAUAAGUGUUAAUAUAAAUUUUCAGAAAUUAGUUUACAUUACUUAACACCUACACUAAUUAUUAUCACCCUCUGUUAUCACCCAUAAUUCUCUGCGGUCUGAGCAUGUGAAUCUCCUUUCAGUGGAUUUUAUGACUAAGGUGUUUACAUGCAACAAGUGUCUUGUUAAAUCCACCUUAUUCCAGGAGUGGGAAUCAGAAUUUGGAAAAAAAAA
Molecule: RNA transcript, 2517 nt
Organism: Cyprinus carpio (common carp)
Lineage: Eukaryota; Metazoa; Chordata; Actinopteri; Cypriniformes; Cyprinidae
Gene name: myotonin-protein kinase-like
Exons: 15
Source: RefSeq, a predicted model, not a curated record